AACCAUAGAAACCUGCGGAGUACCUGCGGAGGGAUCAUUACAGGACUCGCAAGACUCCUUAAACCCCUGUGAACUUACUGUUUAUACGUUGCUUCGGCGGGUGCUCCGGGGUCCGCCCCGGGGCGCUGCGCCCGCCGGCAGCCUACUUAAUUCUGUUUCUCUGCGUUGGCAUCUCGAGUAAGCAAAAUAAGUUAAAACUUUCAACAACGGAUCU
This 214-nucleotide unclassified non-coding RNA is filed under the name soil metagenome. Its description in RNAcentral is "partial contains 5.8S ribosomal RNA, internal transcribed spacer 2, and large subunit ribosomal RNA". The record is from RNAcentral.